This is a long non-coding RNA of Pecten maximus, 251 nucleotides long. RefSeq lists it as uncharacterized. The record is from RefSeq and is a predicted model, not a curated record. Lineage: Eukaryota; Metazoa; Mollusca; Bivalvia; Pectinida; Pectinidae. The transcript is spliced from 3 exons.
GACAGUUGGAGCUGUCCUUUUUCGGAACUUAUCCGUCCCAGAACGAGGUCAAUUGGAAGAUUGAUGCUUCUCCCGAAUGUCAUCUCGCAGGGAGAAACUCCGGUGGAUUCAUGUACAGAAGACCGAUAAGCCAUCAUGAUUGUCUCCCCUGAACUGCCAUGAACCUGUUGAGUGUUGUCCACCACACUGGUAACUGAUGAAGUCUCUGACUUUGCAUCCUUAUCUGAACCCUGUGACCUGGUGGUUACACG